AGGGGAGCCGGAGGGAAACCGAGUCUUAACCGGGCGUUAAGUUGCAGGGUAUAGACCCGAAACCCGGUGAUCUAGCCAUGGGCAGGUUGAAGGUUGGGUAACACUAACUGGAGGACCGAACCGACUAAUGUUGAAAAAUUAGCGGAUGACCUGUGGCUGGGGGUGAAAGGCCAAUCAAACCGGGAGAUAGCUGGUUCUCCCCGAAAGCUAUUUAGGUAGCGCCUCGUGAAUUCAUCUCCGGGGGUAGAGCACUGUUUCGGCUAGGGGGCCAUCCCGGCUUACCAACCCGAUGCAAACUGCGAAUACCGGAGAAUGUUAUCACGGGAGACACACGGCGGGUGCUAACGUCCGUCGUGAAGAGGGAAACAACCCAGACCGCCAGCUAAGGUCCCAAAGUCAUGGUUAAGUGGGAAACGAUGUGGGAAGGCCCAGACAGCCAGGAUGUUGGCUUAGAAGCAGCCAUCAUUUAAAGAAAGCGUAAUAGCUCACUGGUCGAGUCGGCCUGCGCG
RNAcentral lists this ribosomal RNA (509 nucleotides) under Salmonella enterica. RNAcentral's name for it is "partial 23S ribosomal RNA". It matches the Rfam family "Bacterial large subunit ribosomal RNA", at positions 659 to 1165 of the family's 2925-position model. Lineage: Bacteria; Pseudomonadati; Pseudomonadota; Gammaproteobacteria; Enterobacterales; Enterobacteriaceae. The record is from RNAcentral.